This 360-nucleotide long non-coding RNA is filed under the name Sorghum bicolor (sorghum). Its description in RNAcentral is "long non-coding RNA (SBIC_LNC005099)". Lineage: Eukaryota; Viridiplantae; Streptophyta; Magnoliopsida; Poales; Poaceae. The record is from RNAcentral.
GCCUUCUAAUUGUCGUGGUCGUGAAUAUUUUUAUAUAUAUAUCGUACAGUGGUGUUUAAGAUAAGAAGGGGGGAACAAUCUAUGUGCAUAUUACGUGUGCAAAUUCAUGAUGGCACAAGUCAAUCAAACACCCACAGAGACGCUCAGAGUACGUUACAUGUCUCUUUUCAUUAUCUCCUGAAUUAUAUUGAAUAACUUAGAUAACUAAUACCUUUUUUAUUUAUUUCAAAUUAAAGAUGGAAUGGCUGAGGGAAAAGGUCCUACAACAAGACCGAAUCAAAGCUAUCCAAGAGACGAUAGCAGGAUUUCUCCGCGACCAAGUGAUCAAUCCAAACGGUGAGUUUCACUUCAACGGCAACG